GCAUUUGUGUAUAUAUCUUAGCAUUUAUCGACUUCUUUUCUUUAUAUAAAAGAUAUAUAUCGUGCUGAAUAUAAAUAUUAAAAAUACCGUUCUCCGAUAGCUUAAGAUUUCGAAAAAUAAUGAUUCUUUGAUAUUCUUAAACAUAUAGUAUCAGAGCAUGAUUAACUUGGUUUAAUUCAAGUCCACAUCAUCUCGGGUCUAUCAGAAAGUCGCAGCUCAAGUUUUUAGAGAAUAACAGCUGCAUCGGAGACUCGAACAUCGAAAUCGAGGAGCGAAACGAAGCGCGACUGAAAGUUCGGGGACUGGCAG
RNAcentral lists this long non-coding RNA (309 nucleotides) under Ananas comosus (pineapple). RNAcentral's name for it is "long non-coding RNA (ACOM_LNC028603)". Lineage: Eukaryota; Viridiplantae; Streptophyta; Magnoliopsida; Poales; Bromeliaceae. The record is from RNAcentral.